ACCCGGUUCUAAGUGAGUACCUCACCCAUUAUGGCGAAAGCUCAGGUCAAAUUCUUUAACUCAAAUGGGAGCCGGAGCCUUGUUGUACAUUACUGUAAGAUUAAAAUCACGGAAUAUAGGUUUUUUAUCAGAUUAUUUCCAACAUUUGUUCUACACUUGCAUGUAUGAUUGCUGCACAAUUGUGACUUGUGAAAGGAGAAAAAAGAAUGUGUGAAUGUUUUUUUGCUGCAGGUAUUUUGAAGAUAGCGUUUUGAUUAAUUCAGUUUUGUUUUUCAUUGCGGCUUGUUCCUUUACAACUAUUGUAGAAUAAGCUUAUUUUACAUCUACAUGUGGGACCCAUAUGCACUCCCUCUUUUUUUUUCAUCUGUUGUUAGUUGGAGGGAGUAGGAAAGAAGAAUCAGAAUUUCUUCAUUUUUUUGGAUGCUUCUAUUGAUCAGUCGGAGGUCUUCAACAGGGUUGUUUCUUCUGUUUGCAUUUUGCUAACCAAAGAUGACCUUGUAAUCACCAUGCAUGGAUGCACUGCUGCUAUAUGUGAUAAAGUGAAGCAGUUAGCAGAAGGUGCAAUUCAGGCUGUCAUUGAGUUCAUUACAAGAAGAUGCAAUGAGUUGAAUGAAACUGAUGUUUCAAGGUAGGACUUGAGGGGAGUGCUAAUGGACAAUGGUGGUUGGAUGCUAUCAGGAAGGCUCUUGAAUAAGGAACGACAUUUGAACGUGUAGGAUCUAGGUAGUUGGCUGGUUUGCUUAUAUCCACAGGCCUCAGAGCUGGUUCCUAUGGGUUUUACCAGUGCUAGCCAACUCCAUGCAUAGAGGCUUGAAACCAUUCAGAUAACUUUAGGGUCAAGAGAACUUGACAAGAUCUUAGAGGGUUUGCCAACCUUGCAAAUUGAAAAGCUUGUGCAAAUUUGCGAACCAGAGAGUAAAUAAAAGGUGGAACUUGGAUUUAAAAGAUGCAUUGAGGGUCCUUACUGUAUAUGGCUUGGACUCAUUGCCCCAGCAGCUGAUAGUAUCUGAUGCAUAAAGGUUUACAUCAGUAAA
Long non-coding RNA from Magnolia sinica, 1034 nucleotides. RefSeq lists it as uncharacterized. Lineage: Eukaryota; Viridiplantae; Streptophyta; Magnoliopsida; Magnoliales; Magnoliaceae. The record is from RefSeq and is a predicted model, not a curated record. The transcript has 6 exons.